RNAcentral lists this long non-coding RNA (1142 nucleotides) under Rattus norvegicus (Norway rat). RNAcentral describes it as "long non-coding RNA NONRATT010469". Lineage: Eukaryota; Metazoa; Chordata; Mammalia; Rodentia; Muridae. The record is from RNAcentral.
ACUGGAGUGGGACCGUUUAAUCCUGGUAGGAUGAAUGUUGCAGGAGAUGUAUUUCAGAAUGGAGAGUCUGCACCUCAUCAUAAUCCUGAUUCUUGGAUCUCCCAGUCAGCAUCAUUUCCUCGUAACCAGAAACAACAAGGAGUGGAUUCUUUAUCACCAGUGGCCUCACUUCCUAAACAGAAUUUCCAGCCCUCAAACCAACAACCCACUAAACCAGUUAAAGUCACUUGUGCAAACUGCAAAAAACCUCUACAGAAGGGGCAGACAGCUUAUCAACGAAAAGGAUCAGCUCACCUCUUUUGUUCAACCACCUGCCUUUCUUCUUUCUCUCAUAAACCUGCUCCAAAGAAACUCUGUGUUAUGUGUAAAAAAGAUAUAACUACAAUGAAAGGAACCAUUGUUGCUCAAGUGGACUCGAGUGAGUCCUUCCAAGAAUUUUGUAGUACAUCUUGUUUGUCUCUCUAUGAGGACAAGCAGAGUCCUGCUAAAGGAGCUCUAAAUAAAUCAAGAUGCACAAUCUGUGGUAAAUUGACUGAGAUUCGCCAUGAAGUUAGUUUUAAAAACAUGACUCAUAAGCUGUGCAGUGACCACUGCUUUAACAGAUACAGAAUGGCCAAUGGUCUGAUAAUGAAUUGCUGUGAACAGUGUGGAGAAUAUUUGCCCAGUAAAGGUGCUGGAAAUAAUUUUAGAUCAGGGCUGUCAGACGUCCCGAACCAAAAUGACAGGCUCAGCACCACCCCCUUCUCCUACACCAAACAAAGAGAUGAAGAACAAAGCGAUUCUUUGCAAACCUUUAACAAUGACAAAAGCAACUUACUGUAAGCCUCACAUGCAGACCAAGUCUUGUCAGACAGGUAACGGGGACGUUUGGGUUACACCUCCUCCUACUUAGACCUUACUGCUUUAAAGUGAGUGCUUUUUUUUUUUUCCACUUUUUUUUUUCUUUUUUUUCGGAGCUGGGGACGGAACCCAGGGCCUUGCGCUUGCUAGGCAAGUGCUCUACCACUGAGCUAAAUCCCCAACCCCAGUGAGUGCUUUUCUAGAGUGAAACGCUACAGGAUCGGCGUGAUAGGGCAUCAUGUCCUUUUCAUCUGUGUGACUCUUUUUUUAUAUUUCCUUGAGAAUAAAGCAUAUUAAUCAAA